GUAUUAAUAUCAUUUUUACCUGUGAUCUCUUCGUACUCUGAUUCAAUUGUCACCAUAUAUUUCAACCCUUUUUACUAUCCAUUACUCACUUGCACAAUCUCUUGCUCUCUCUGUCUCUGUCUCUAUCUGUAUCUCUUUUUUUCUCAUCAUCACCGUCAUCAUCAUACUUGUUCAUCAUUACCUUUAAAACUUUCAUUUCACAUAACAGGAUAAAUUUGAAUUCAUUUUUCCACCUCAUCAUAUUAAACAAUUGAAACAAAAGACACCAUCAACAAGGAAAAAAACAACAAAGAUAAUUUUGCAACAAAGAGAUUCUUCAUCCACUCAUAUCAUCACCAUCACUUGGAUCAUCUGCAUCAUCACAAGCAGCAGCAAUAACCUCCUCAGGAAGCUCAUCAAAACUGGAACCAACAAUUUACUGUGAAAUGGAUAUCGAUUUAACUGAUCCUGAAUUGGAAAAAGCAGCAACCAAAAUACAAGCAACAUUCAAAGGGUACAAGGUUAGGAAAGAAGUUAAAGAGAAGACUCCCGAAACUGAAGAACAGCCCAAAGAAAUUCAGCGAAGUGAUUCAAUCGAUAUCGAUUUAAAUGAUCCGGAUGUUGAAAAGGCAGCAACCAGAAUUCAGGCCACUUUUCGAGGAUACAAAACACGACGGGAAGUUAAAAAAGAUUAAUCUUCAUUUAGUACAAUCUAAAGAUAAAUUGCAACGGGUUCAAUUGAUUAAAAGCUGAUAAAAGCUGUAUUUAAUUUCAACAAUAAACUGUAAAACAUCACACAUCAAGCAAAAAACUAAAACCGCGCAAUUAAACGAAAGCCAACAACAAUUAAGGCAACCAAGAAUAGAUGAUGGAUCAAGUGAAGAGUUAAUCUUAAUCAACUGCAAUAUAAAUCAAAUAAAAUGAACGGCGAGAAUAGAUUGACCAAGAAAAGGCAUAAACUUUCGUCUUCUUUUUUUGCCCAUUUUUCAUGGUAAAAUAACGAAAUGAAAAAGAGUCUUAAUGUUAGGAAUAAAGGAAAAUGUUGGAAUGAAAAAUGUUUAUAAAUACAGUUGAAAGGAAAAGUUUAAAGAAAGAAAACAUCAUUUUGUUUGGUUCCAAAUAAUCAAUGGUCCAGUAGCAAUCAACUUCCCUCCUCAUCAUGUGUCAUCUUAAUCAUCACAAGAUCAUCCAGUAAUCAUCAAUGAUCAUGUUGAUCAGUCAAGCUUAAUCACUGUCAUCAUCAUUUCUGGCAGCCAAACUUUAAAACCUCUUUUACAUUAACAGAAAGCAAAGCGAAACCCAAAAAAGCAAAAACCCAAAAAACCAGAUUUCCAUUUUAAAAUCAUUUCAAUCUUCAAUUUUUCCCUAUUUUAAGACACAAUUUGUUUCCAUCUCUACCUUAAUUCAAUAGCUAGUUAAUUGUUUAAAGUCAAUUUUCCUUUUCUUUUCCAACAACAGUUAAAGUUGUUCAUUUAUUUAUUUCCAAUCAAGGUAAACCAUUCAAGCUAAUUCAUCUAUUAUUGCCAUUUAUUAACAUUUUAUCGUCUUGUUUAAUUAGUCGACAUUUUAUGGAAAUUAAAAAUUAGGUAAAAAUGAUUUAAUAAUAAACAAAUUGAACAACUUCAGGCAAACACCUUCAACCCUAAAAGGCUACCAUUUAUUGAUAUUGAAAAACUGUCUCAACUCUUCAAUCGUCACCAAGAAAAGCCUUCAAUUUAACCUUUUCAUUGAUUCAUUCACACAAUUUUGGCUUUUAUUAGCAAUUUAGACAGUUAAUCAAUUUGAAUCUGCUUUUCAAUUAAACCCUUUCAAUCGAUAAAUUGUAAUGUAAAAGGAGAACCAGAAUUGAAACCAGAUUUCUGGUUUCACCAACUAAUGGGACAAACAGCACAAAAAUGGGAAACAACUUUUUACUCUUUUAAUAAUUCAUUUGAUCCC
Non-coding RNA from Tetranychus urticae (two-spotted spider mite), 1917 nucleotides. The record is from RefSeq and is a predicted model, not a curated record. Lineage: Eukaryota; Metazoa; Arthropoda; Arachnida; Trombidiformes; Tetranychidae.